AUCCACCUGACAAGUCCAAAAUAGGACGAAAUAAGCAUCUUGGAU
This 45-nucleotide non-coding RNA is filed under the name Trichobilharzia regenti. Lineage: Eukaryota; Metazoa; Platyhelminthes; Trematoda; Strigeidida; Schistosomatidae. The record is from RNAcentral.